RNAcentral lists this ribosomal RNA (486 nucleotides) under uncultured bacterium. Its description in RNAcentral is "partial 16S ribosomal RNA". It matches the Rfam family "Bacterial small subunit ribosomal RNA", at positions 30 to 507 of the family's 1533-position model. The record is from RNAcentral.
AUUGAACGCUGGCGGCAUGCCUUACACAUGCAAGUCGAACGGCAGCACGGGUGCUUGCACCUGGUGGCGAGUGGCGAACGGGUGAGUAAUACAUCGGAACAUGUCCUGUAGGGGGGGAAAGCCGGGCGAAAACGGGAUUAAAACCCCAAAAGAACUACGGAUGACAGGGGGGGACCUUAGGACCUGGCGUUGCAGGGUUACCAGAUGGAUGUUUGGUUAGUUGGCGGGGUAAAGGCCUACCAAGGCGACGAUCAGUAGCUGGUUUGAGAGGACGACCAGCCACACUGGGACUGAGACACGGCCCAGACUCCUACGGGAGCCAGCAGUGGGGAAUUUUGGACAAUGGGCGAAAGCCUGAUCCAGCAAUGCCGCUUGUGUGAAGAAGUCCUUCGGGUUGUAAAGCAUUUUUGUCCGGAAAGAAAUCCUUGGCCCUAAUACGGUCGGGGGAUGACGGUACCGGAAGAAUAAGCACCGGCUAACUACGUG